RNAcentral lists this transfer RNA (69 nucleotides) under Bigelowiella natans. The record is from RNAcentral. Lineage: Eukaryota; Cercozoa; Chlorarachniophyceae.
GACCGACGCGCUACCACUGCGCUAUUGAGACAUUACUAUUAAUUUCUUAAUAUUCCUAAUAUACAUGCU